AGAUCAUAAUAUAUUUCCAUACACCAAAUAUAGUUUACCUUUGGCAUAUAAUAUUAGAUAAAAAGACCAAAACUUUAAAACUUAACUUUGACCACUGAACCAUGAAAAUGAGGUCAAAGUCAGAUGACAUCUGCCCGCUAGACAUGUACACCUUACUAUCAUUCCAUACAACAAAUAUAGUAGACCUAUUGCAUAAAGUAUGAGAAAAACAGA
This 213-nucleotide long non-coding RNA is filed under the name Mytilus galloprovincialis (Mediterranean mussel). Lineage: Eukaryota; Metazoa; Mollusca; Bivalvia; Mytilida; Mytilidae. The record is from RNAcentral.